RNAcentral lists this ribosomal RNA (516 nucleotides) under uncultured bacterium. Its description in RNAcentral is "bacterial SSU rRNA". It matches the Rfam family "Bacterial small subunit ribosomal RNA", at positions 28 to 561 of the family's 1533-position model. The record is from RNAcentral.
AAUGAACGUUGGCGGCGUGGAUUAGGCAUGCAAGUCGAGCGUGUACCCGCAAGGGGAAAGCGGCAAACGGGGUAGGAACUCGUAGGUCACGUACCCCUCGGCCGGGGAUAGCCACGGGAAACUGUGGGUAAUACCCGAUGACGCCGAGAGGCCAAAGGUGUGAUUCCGCCGGGGGAGCGGCCUGCGUAGUAUUAGCUAGUUGGUGAGGUAACGGCUCACCAAGGCGAAGAUGCUUAGGGGGUGUGAGAGCAUGACCCCCACCACUGGGACUGAGAUACUGCCCAGACACCUACGGGUGGCUGCAGUCGAGAAUCUUCGGCAAUGGGGGCAACCCUGACCGAGCGACGCCGCGUGUGGGAUGAAGGCCCUUGGGUUGUAAACCACUGUCAGAGGGGAUGAAACGAUCAUGGGUUCUCCCAUGGUCCUGACAUAGCCUCAGAGGAAGCACGGGCUAAGUUCGUGCCAGCAGCCGCGGUAAUACGAACUGUGCAAACGUUAUUCGGAAUCACUGGUACG